Long non-coding RNA from Mauremys reevesii (Reeves's turtle), 251 nucleotides. RefSeq lists it as uncharacterized. Lineage: Eukaryota; Metazoa; Chordata; Testudines; Geoemydidae. The record is from RefSeq and is a predicted model, not a curated record. The transcript has 3 exons.
GGUGAGUCGGGGUUGCACAGAGGAGAAGGUCUUUGGGGAGGGAAAUUCGAACUAUUUCUGUGCAGCCAGGAAACUCCCAUGGGGGAGCUGCCCUUCUCGCCCUGCCAGGCUGCAGAAUGACGUCCAUGUUUCGUUCUAGCUCAUUCCAUCCUCCAAUGGGACAUAGGAGAGAAAUGGCUGCAGUGGAGCCAGCUCAGAAGCCGGUGACCUUCGAGGCGGUGGCUGUGUAUUUCACCAGGGAAGAGUGGGCU